This 460-nucleotide ribosomal RNA is filed under the name uncultured bacterium. RNAcentral describes it as "partial 16S ribosomal RNA". It matches the Rfam family "Bacterial small subunit ribosomal RNA", at positions 338 to 795 of the family's 1533-position model. The record is from RNAcentral.
CCUACGGGAGGCUGCAGUGAGGAAUAUUGGUCAAUGGACGGAAGUCUGAACCAGCCAUGCCGCGUGCAGGAAGACGGCUCUAUGAGUUGUAAACUGCUUUUGUACAAGGGUAAACCUGAAUACGUGUAUUCAGCUGAAAGUACUGUACGAAUAAGGAUCGGCUAACUCCGUGCCAGCAGCCGCGGUAAUACGGAGGAUCCAAGCGUUAUCCGGAUUUAUUGGGUUUAAAGGGUGCGUAGGCGGAUUGAUAAGUUAGAGGUGAAAUGUCCGAGCUUAACUCGGGAACUGCCUCUAAUACUGUUGAUCUAGAGAGUAGAUGCGGUAGGCGGAAUGUAUGGUGUAGCGGGGAAAUGCUUAGAGAUCAGACAGAACACCGAUUGCGAAGGCAGCUUACCAAUCUAUAUCUGACGUUGAGGCACGAAAGCGUGGGGAGCAAACAGGAUUAGAUACCCGGGUAGUC